RNAcentral lists this ribosomal RNA (277 nucleotides) under uncultured bacterium. RNAcentral's name for it is "partial 16S ribosomal RNA". It matches the Rfam family "Bacterial small subunit ribosomal RNA", at positions 32 to 288 of the family's 1533-position model. The record is from RNAcentral.
AAUCAACGCUGGCGGCGUGCCUAACACAUGCAAGUCGAACGCGAAAGCCCCUUCGGGGGUAAGUAGAGUGGCGUCCGGGUGAGUAACACGUAGGUAAUCUGCCUUCGGGUGGGAAUAACCAGUCGAAAGAUUGGCUAAUACCGCAUAAUGCAGCGGCACCUAAUGGUGAGUUAGUUGUUAAAGCGGGGGAUCGUAAGACCUCGCGCCUGAAGAGGUAGCCUGCGGCAGAUUAGCUAGGGUUGAGGUAAGUGGCUCACCAAGGCUUCGAUCUGUAGCU